Molecule: transfer RNA, 76 nt
Filed under: bacterium
Lineage: Bacteria
Also listed under: 1 other name
Description: tRNA-Val
Rfam family: tRNA
About the family: Transfer RNA (tRNA) molecules are approximately 80 nucleotides in length.
Source: RNAcentral
GGGCGAUUAGCUCAGCUGGUAGAGCGCCUCGUUGACAUCGAGGAGGUCGUUGGUUCAAGUCCAAUAUCGCCCACCA